AAUAAUCUUAUUUUUCGUUUUUCCGUGUACAAUGUUUGACCGUUCGUCUUAUUUGAAAUUUUUUUGCGAUUAAUAUUUUUAUUAUUACUAGACGAUAAAAUAUAAAUAGUAUUUAUACGUGACUAUUUUUUUUGAUUUUUGCACUAAUUUUUAAAUAAGACAAAUAGUCAAACGUUGGAUACGAAAAA
Oryza brachyantha (malo sina) is the source of this 188-nucleotide non-coding RNA. The record is from Rfam. Lineage: Eukaryota; Viridiplantae; Streptophyta; Magnoliopsida; Poales; Poaceae.